RNAcentral lists this ribosomal RNA (563 nucleotides) under uncultured Caulobacter sp. RNAcentral's name for it is "bacterial SSU rRNA". It matches the Rfam family "Bacterial small subunit ribosomal RNA", at positions 335 to 916 of the family's 1533-position model. Lineage: Bacteria; Pseudomonadati; Pseudomonadota; Alphaproteobacteria; Caulobacterales; Caulobacteraceae. The record is from RNAcentral.
ACUCCUACGGGAGGCAGCAGUGGGGAAUCUUGCGCAAUGGGCGAAAGCCUGACGCAGCCAUGCCGCGUGGAUGAUGAAGGUCUUAGGAUUGUAAAAUCCUUUCMGCGGGGACGAUAAUGACGGUACCCGCAGAAGAAGCCCCGGCUAACUUCGUGCCAGCAGCCGCGGUAAUACGAAGGGGGCUAGCGUUGCUCGGAAUUACUGGGCGUAAAGGGAGCGUAGGCGGGUCGUUUAGUCAGAGGUGAAAUCCCGGGGCUCAACCUCGGAACUGCCUUUGAUACUGGCGACCUUGAGUAUGGGAGAGGUAAGCGGAACUCCGAGUGUAGAGGUGAAAUUCGUAGAUAUUCGRAAGAACACCAGUGGCGAAGGCGGCUUACUGGCCCAUUACUGACGCUGAGGCUCGAAAGCGUGGGGAGCAAACAGGAUUAGAUACCCUGGUAGUCCACGCCGUAAACGAUGARUGCUAGUUGUCGGCAUGCAUGCAUGUCGGUGACGCAGCUAACGCAUUAAGCACUCCGCCUGGGGAGUACGGUCGCAAGAUUAAAACUCAAAGGAAUUGACGG